GCAGCUCUGGCAUUUUUCCCACUUCUAUUUUUUUUUUUCACUUUGCAGUAAUAGUGGUAAAGAAAAGGAGAAAGAAGGCAAAACACUUGAAAGAAAAUUUCUGUCGGGAGGAAUGCAAUUAUAGUGGAAUGAGAAGACAUUCAGGAAAAAGAAAUGUGUAAAAUCCAGCGUCUCAGGAGAAAUAUUUGCAAAGUUUGUAUCUGAGAUACAAUCAUGAAGUGCCGUAUUGCUGCAAAAGAGGAAUGGCCGGGAACAGCUACAGGUGAUGCCUCGGUUUUUCGGCAGUUUCACAGCUCAGAACCUGCUCAAAAAAUGAAGUGCUGCUUGCUGCGAACACACGCUCAGCAUUUGUUCCCUGGGACCUACACCCGCACUAAGGAAGGCACAGGCAGCGUUCACAAAGGAUGUGGGCAGGUAAGGAACGGCAUUGCAGACCCAGGGUGCAGACCAAAGAUGUGCCAUUCUGCAGAAAAAUGUUAUGAAAAAGCUUUAUUAUGCAAUGUUAAUAGUUUUUGAAUGGAGGGUGGUUUCACAUCCCUCCUAGUCCACAGAGAGACCCCUGUAGCUCAUACAGAGACCCCUGAACUCUGCUCUGGAUAACACAGGUCUGCAGCCCAAAGUCUGGUGGUGAUUUGUGCCUACAAUCACUAAUUGUCCUUCAGAGGUGACUGAAGCCACCUCCCAGCCCACCGGGACCAAGGCAGCUCUGACAGCUUUCUGAAAGAUCGGUACAGAAGGUGGAGGAAUUGGGGAUAAUCAGUGACAAGUUU
This 770-nucleotide long non-coding RNA is filed under the name Anser brachyrhynchus (Pink-footed goose). Its description in RNAcentral is "lncRNA (ENSABRG00000016682.1)". Lineage: Eukaryota; Metazoa; Chordata; Aves; Anseriformes; Anatidae. The record is from RNAcentral.